This 71-nucleotide transfer RNA is filed under the name Myotis brandtii (Brandt's bat). It matches the Rfam family "tRNA". From Rfam's summary of the family: Transfer RNA (tRNA) molecules are approximately 80 nucleotides in length. Their secondary structure includes four short double-helical elements and three loops (D, anti-codon, and T loops). The record is from Rfam by way of RNAcentral. Lineage: Eukaryota; Metazoa; Chordata; Mammalia; Chiroptera; Vespertilionidae.
GCAUCGAUGGCUCAGUGGUAGAAUUCUUGCCUGUCACGCGAGAGGCCUGGAUUCGAACCCAGGCCAAUGCA